AAGUCUCGAACUAUCAUAAUGCUCACAAUGCGAAAUAGUAAAGUUCCGUUGUUUACUAUUCCGGUCAAUGUCCAAGUAGUACACUAAGUCAUCAUCUGUCCACAUGUCAUAAUGAAUACUCAAAGUCAAAUCUGAAGAGACCCACCCGAAGGCUUUCUAUGGCCCUGAGACCCACCCGUAGGCUGUCUGGCUGGUGCAGAGCCUAAUGGCCCCGUGGUAGUCAUCAUCCCGACCUUAGGAAUGAGCCUGUCCCACGGCAAUCCACUUCGGCGCCCAAUCACGCACGGCGAAUGUGAAUCGCGAUGGCUAUCUCCGGAGUGCCGGCUUGUAGGGAGCGACCCUCACAAGCAUGUGCGAAUGAGCACAAUGGCAAGUAGUCAAACGAUCUGUCGCAAGUACCAAGUCCUCAUGUCUAAUAACAUGGAAUGUGUCAAGUAUCUCAAUGGCCUAUCCCUAUGUCAUCAUGUCUCUAACAUGGAAUAUAGCAGAUAUGUAGUGGCCUAUCAAUAUGUCUCUACGUUGCAGUUUCAUAGUUUACUAGUUUCAAGUGCCUCUUUAUGACACU
This 565-nucleotide long non-coding RNA is filed under the name Ananas comosus (pineapple). RNAcentral describes it as "long non-coding RNA (ACOM_LNC016889)". The record is from RNAcentral. Lineage: Eukaryota; Viridiplantae; Streptophyta; Magnoliopsida; Poales; Bromeliaceae.